UAAUUUGAAGUUUGAUAAUCUUUCAUAGGGUCUGACUAGAAAAACAUUUCAACCGUAUACUUUCAAGCAGUUACAAGAAAUAAUUAUGAGCCGUAUCCAAGAACUUCAGGCUUUUGAUCCUGAUGCUGUUCAAUUAGUUGCACGUAAAGUUGCUGCAAUAUCAGGUGAUGCUAGAAGAGCCUUGGACAUCUGUAGGUUUGCUACAGAGGUUGUGACUUCUAAUAAGUCUUCACCUAAGAAAAAAUGCAAAGUUCUUAUUGGAAUGGAGCAUGUGGAUAUUGCUCUUCAACAGAUGUUUUCAUCACCUCUUGUUUUAGCUAUAAGGUCAUCUUCUAAUAUUGCAAAACUGUUCUUCCGAGGUAUACUUUCAGAAUUUAUGAGAACUGGAUCUGAGGAGACAACACUACUCAGGAUACACCAACAAGUGGUUGCUGCUUGCAGAUUUGAAGUAUAAAUUUGGACUUGUGGCUCUCGAACUUUCAUAAAACCUAUCAUGAGGCUCCCAUCGUUUUGAAGUUUGGCCAUCCCUGGGCAAAAGCCUCCAAAUUUCUCUGAAGUUCACAAUAUUUGCGCUCAUCUGGCAGCAUCACAUCUUAUUCUGGUCGACAACUUUCAAAACGAUUUACAUAUGAAAAUACGUCUGAAUGUUAGUUCUGAUGAUGUAAG
Molecule: unclassified non-coding RNA, 666 nt
Filed under: Stegodyphus dumicola
Lineage: Eukaryota; Metazoa; Arthropoda; Arachnida; Araneae; Eresidae
Description: origin recognition complex subunit 1-like, transcript variant X1
Source: RNAcentral